Molecule: long non-coding RNA, 481 nt
Filed under: Rattus norvegicus (Norway rat)
Lineage: Eukaryota; Metazoa; Chordata; Mammalia; Rodentia; Muridae
Description: long non-coding RNA NONRATT030863
Source: RNAcentral
CAACCCAGAGGUAGAAAGCUGUUUGCCUGGAGUGAUAAUGUCACUUCAUCCCAGAUACAUCUCUUUCCUUUGGCAAGUUGCAGACUUAGGGAGCAGCCUAAAUAUGCCCCCUCUUAGAGAUGGAGCAAGAGUUCUUAUGAAACUUAUGCCGCCAGAUAGUACAACAAUAGAAAAAUUAAGAGCUAUUUGUUUAGAUCAUGCCAAACUUGGAGAAAGCAGCCUUAGUCCAUCUCUUGACUCACUUUUCUUUGGUCCUUCAGCCUCACAAGUGCUAUACCUAACAGAGGUAGUCUAUGCCCUGUUAAUGCCUGCUGGUGCACCCCUGGCUGAUGACUCCUCUGAUUUUCAGUUUCACUUCUUGAAAAGUGGUGGUUUGCCCCUUGUUCUGAGUAUGCUAACCAGAAAUAACUUCCUACCAAAUGCUGAUAUGGAAACUCGAAGGGGUGCCUACCUCAAUGCUCUUAAAAUAGCCAAACUGUUA